Molecule: long non-coding RNA, 449 nt
Organism: Rhea pennata
Lineage: Eukaryota; Metazoa; Chordata; Aves; Rheiformes; Rheidae
Exons: 3
Source: RefSeq, a predicted model, not a curated record
CAAAAAACUGCAGGCAGCGUUCUGCUCAUGUGCUCUGAAUACUGAAAUUCAGACAGUCUCUUCCAAAAGGAAAAGUGUGUGCACACGCGCCCUGUGGGGAAGGAGGAACAGAGCGCAGCGCUCUACGGCAGAGCUCGCGUUGUCCGGAGAACCUUACCUUCCCAUCUGAGGUGGUGUUGAUCCUGUAGUGGUAAACACGUCCUUCGUACCUGAGCGAGAUGGAUAGCUGCCCUGGGCUGCUCUCGCUUUCACGAACCAGGAAGCUGCCGUUGAUGAGGCUGCUCAACAGCAUCCUAACCCAUCAGAUGAAGAACAUAAGAAACCUGGCACUAUCAUGGAAAAGAGGAAAAUCCCAGGGCCUUCCCAGCCUGCUACAUCAGAGCACCGCUGCAAACAUAGCAGUAGUUUUGGGGGGCUGAGCGUGCAUAAACGUGCCAAGUUAUUAAGCA